UGGUGAAGAUAGGAAAAGAGUCCAGGAGCCAGUGCGAUUUGGUGAAGGAAGCUAGGAAGAAGGAAGGAGCGCUAACGAUUUGGUGGUGAAGCUAGGAAAAAGGAUUCCAGGAAGGAGCGAGUGCAAUUUGGUGAUGAAGGUAGCAGGCGGCUUGGCUUGGCAACCACACGGAGGAGGCGAGCAGGCGUUGUGCGUAGAGGAUCCUAGACCAGCAUGCCAGUGUGCCAAGGCCACAGGGAAAGCGAGUGGUUGGUAAAAAUCCGUGAGGUCGGCAAUAUGUUGUUUUUCUGGAACUUACUUAUGGUAACCUUUUAUUUAUUUUCUAAUAUAAUGGGGGAGUUUCGUACUGAGGUGUAAAGGGAUUUAUAUGGGGACGUAGGCCGAUUUCCGGGUGUUGUAGGUUUCUCUUUUUCAGGCUUAUACUCAUGAAUCUUGUCUGAAGCUUUUGAGGGCAGACUGCCAAGUCCUGGAGAAAUAGUAGAUGGCAAGUUUGUGGGUUUUUUUUUUUUACACGAAUUUGAGGAAAACCAAAUGAAUUUGAUAGCCAAAUUGAGACAAUUUCAGCAAAUCUGUAAGCAGUUUGUAUGUUUAGUUGGGGUAAUGAAGUAUUUCAGUUUUGUGAAUAGAUGACCUGUUUUUACUUCCUCACCCUGAAUUCGUUUUGUAAAUGUAGAGUUUGGAUGUGUAACUGAGGCGGGGGGGAGUUUUCAGUAUUUUUUUUUGUGGGGGUGGGGGCAAAAUAUGUUUUCAGUUCUUUUUCCCUUAGGUCUGUCUAGAAUCCUAAAGGCAAAUGACUCAAGGUGUAACAGAAAACAAGAAAAUCCAAUAUCAGGAUAAUCAGACCACCACAGGUUUACAGUUUAUAGAAACUAGAGCAGUUCUCACGUUGAGGUCUGUGGAAGAGAUGUCCAUUGGAGAAAUGGCUGGUAGUUACUCUUUUUUCCCCCCACCCCCUUAAUCAGACUUUAAAAGUGCUUAACCCCUUAAACUUGUUAUUUUUUACUUGAAGCAUUUUGGGAUGGUCUUAACAGGGAAGAGAGAGGGUGGGGGAGAAAAUGUUUUUUUCUAAGAUUUUCCACAGAUGCUAUAGUACUAUUGACAAACUGGGUUAGAGAAGGAGUGUACCGCUGUGCUGUUGGCACGAACACCUUCAGGGACUGGAGCUGCUUUUAUCCUUGGAAGAGUAUUCCCAGUUGAAGCUGAAAAGUACAGCACAGUGCAGCUUUGGUUCAUAUUCAGUCAUCUCAGGAGAACUUCAGAAGAGCUUGAGUAGGCCAAAUGUUGAAGUUAAGUUUUCCAAUAAUGUGACUUCUUAAAAGUUUUAUUAAAGGGGAGGGGCAAAUAUUGGCAAUUAGUUGGCAGUGGCCUGUUACGGUUGGGAUUGGUGGGGUGGGUUUAGGUAAUUGUUUAGUUUAUGAUUGCAGAUAAACUCAUGCCAGAGAACUUAAAGUCUUAGAAUGGAAAAAGUAAAGAAAUAUCAACUUCCAAGUUGGCAAGUAACUCCCAAUGAUUUAGUUUUUUUCCCCCCAGUUUGAAUUGGGAAGCUGGGGGAAGUUAAAUAUGAGCCACUGGGUGUACCAGUGCAUUAAUUUGGGCAAGGAAAGUGUCAUAAUUUGAUACUGUAUCUGUUUUCCUUCAAAGUAUAGAGCUUUUGGGGAAGGAAAGUAUUGAACUGGGGGUUGGUCUGGCCUACUGGGCUGACAUUAACUACAAUUAUGGGAAAUGCAAAAGUUGUUUGGAUAUGGUAGUGUGUGGUUCUCUUUUGGAAUUUUUUUCAGGUGAUUUAAUAAUAAUUUAAAACUACUAUAGAAACUGCAGAGCAAAGGAAGUGGCUUAAUGAUCCUGAAGGGAUUUCUUCUGAUGGUAGCUUUUGUAUUAUCAAGUAAGAUUCUAUUUUCAGUUGUGUGUAAGCAAGUUUUUUUUUAGUGUAGGAGAAAUACUUUUCCAUUGUUUAACUGCAAAACAAGAUGUUAAGGUAUGCUUCAAAAAUUUUGUAAAUUGUUUAUUUUAAACUUAUCUGUUUGUAAAUUGUAACUGAUUAAGAAUUGUGAUAGUUCAGCUUGAAUGUCUCUUAGAGGGUGGGCUUUUGUUGAUGAGGGAGGGGAAACUUUUUUUUUUUCUAUAGACUUUUUUCAGAUAACAUCUUCUGAGUCAUAACCAGCCUGGCAGUAUGAUGGCCUAGAUGCAGAGAAAACAGCUCCUUGGUGAAUUGAUAAGUAAAGGCAGAAAAGAUUAUAUGUCAUACCUCCAUUGGGGAAUAAGCAUAACCCUGAGAUUCUUACUACUGAUGAGAACAUUAUCUGCAUAUGCCAAAAAAUUUUAAGCAAAUGAAAGCUACCAAUUUAAAGUUACGGAAUCUACCAUUUUAAAGUUAAUUGCUUGUCAAGCUAUAACCACAAAAAUAAUGAAUUGAUGAGAAAUACAAUGAAGAGGCAAUGUCCAUCUCAAAAUACUGCUUUUACAAAAGCAGAAUAAAAGCGAAAAGAAAUGAAAAUGUUACACUACAUUAAUCCUGGAAUAAAAGAAGCCGAAAUAAAUGAGAGAUGAGUUGGGAUCAAGUGGAUUGAGGAGGCUGUGCUGUGUGCCAAUGUUUCGUUUGCCUCAGACAGGUAUCUCUUCGUUAUCAGAAGAGUUGCUUCAUUUCAUCUGGGAGCAGAAAACAGCAGGCAGCUGUUAACAGAUAAGUUUAACUUGCAUCUGCAGUAUUGCAUGUUAGGGAUAAGUGCUUAUUUUUAAGAGCUGUGGAGUUCUUAAAUAUCAACCAUGGCACUUUCUCCUGACCCCUUCCCUAGGGGAUUUCAGGAUUGAGAAAUUUUUCCAUCGAGCCUUUUUAAAAUUGUAGGACUUGUUCCUGUGGGCUUCAGUGAUGGGAUAGUACACUUCACUCAGAGGCAUUUGCAUCUUUAAAUAAUUUCUUAAAAGCCUCUAAAGUGAUCAGUGCCUUGAUGCCAACUAAGGAAAUUUGUUUAGCAUUGAAUCUCUGAAGGCUCUAUGAAAGGAAUAGCAUGAUGUGCUGUUAGAAUCAGAUGUUACUGCUAAAAUUUACAUGUUGUGAUGUAAAUUGUGUAGAAAACCAUUAAAUCAUUCAAAAUAAUAAACUAUUUUUAUUAGAGAAUGUAUACUUUUAGAAAGCUGUCUCCUUAUUUAAAUAAAAUAGUGUUUGUCUGUAGUUCAGUGUUGGGGCAAUCUUGGGGGGGAUUCUUCUCUAAUCUUUCAGAAACUUUGUCUGCGAACACUCUUUAAUGGACCAGAUCAGGAUUUGAGCGGAAGAACGAAUGUAACUUUAAGGCAGGAAAGACAAAUUUUAUUCUUCAUAAAGUGAUGAGCAUAUAAUAAUUCCAGGCACAUGGCAAUAGAGGCCCUCUAAAUAAGGAAUAAAUAACCUCUUAGACAGGUGGGAGGUAACAGCACAAUAUCUUUGAACUAUAUACAUCCUUGAUGUAUAAUUUGUCAGGAGCUUGACUUGAUUGUAUAUUCAUAUUUACACGAGAACCUAAUAUAACUGCCUUGUCUUUUUCAGGUAAUAGCCUGCAGCUGGUGUUUUGAGAAGCCCUACUGCUGAAAAC
RNAcentral lists this long non-coding RNA (3566 nucleotides) under Homo sapiens (human). Its description in RNAcentral is "metastasis associated lung adenocarcinoma transcript 1". The stretch from base 2403 to 2497 matches the Rfam family "Metastasis associated lung adenocarcinoma transcript 1". Lineage: Eukaryota; Metazoa; Chordata; Mammalia; Primates; Hominidae. The record is from RNAcentral.